RNAcentral lists this unclassified non-coding RNA (3128 nucleotides) under Hevea brasiliensis (rubber tree). Lineage: Eukaryota; Viridiplantae; Streptophyta; Magnoliopsida; Malpighiales; Euphorbiaceae. The record is from RNAcentral.
CAAAAAAAAAAAAAAAAAAACUAAAUGAUGAGAGGAUUUUGUUCCUCUUUAUCGGAAGUCACAGAACAACUAUUUACAUUACCGACAUUGAUAGACACCAUAUAUAGCAGUCAACUUCACCAGAGUUAACGGAAUUCAAAUUUCUCAUUUAAUAACCCAUUCCCUUCAAAGAAAUCUUGCUAUAUCCAUCUUGGGCACCAUUUGGCUUCCUUAAGCAUCAUUUGGCAAAGCAGGAAAGUCCCAGUUGCGGACUAUAAUAGUCACAUUCCUCCCCUGAAUCUCCUUCAUGCUUCCUUCAAUCUGCAAUGCAAAAUCUCUCGGCAUAUUUGUGAGGGUUAAUUCCUUCAACAUCUUUAGCUGAUUCAAACCACUAGUUUCCUUCAGUUUUUCACAGCGUCUAAUCUCUAAUUCUCUUAGUUGAGGAAAGGAACCUUCUUCCAAAGUCCACUUCUCCAAUUCCACAAGCAUCCACAGUUUUAAGACUCGGAGUUUCGGAAACCCUUCAGCGUGACAAGUCAUCUCCUUCCCUAGAUAGGAGCGAGCAAAAAGUCGGAGGAUGUUCAGCUCACGCAAUUGCCCUAGGUAUUUCAUCGGAUCCUUAUCCAGCUGUGACACUGAUAAAGUAAGCAUCUUGAGAUUUUGUGGAAACUCAAUAUUAUCAAUUGCCAUUGAUAACUUUCCAAGCAAAUUCAACUCCCAAAGAUUUUUAUGCUCACGCAUGCUCCAUAACGUGAGGUCUGAAGGUCGACGAAAUUCAUCUAUUGACCUCAAUUUCAAGGACCUAAGAUUUGUGCAUUUAGAAAUCCAGGUAGUUAUCAGCACAAGUGAUUCGAAAUGGCAUGUGAGUCCAAGUUUUGUGAGACCAAUCAGCCUAAUCAACCAAUCUUCCCCUGGGCUCCUUUUCCCAAUUAUUAACCCCCACAUAGUCAGAAGGUUCCCCAAUGAUCCACCAGCCAAUGGCUUUUGAAGGGACACAUCCAAAUAAAUCUCGUUCAUGUAAAGAUGGCGAAGCUUCUUGGAGUUCCAGAUGGAAAUGGGCAAGACUGUUAUAUUAGUGUGCUUCACAUCCAAAGUUUCUAAGUUAGGCAAAUCACCUACCGAAUUUGGGAUUGAAUCUAGAAAAGUCCAUCGCAAGCCCAGGUAACUUAGGUGUAGCAGUUUUCCUAUAGCCUCAGUUAACACUGGUUUGUAGACCUUUUCUAGAUCAAGUACAGUGAUCAAUCCAAAGCCUCUUUUUGCCAUGAUCUUGUUAAGAAACUUUUCUACUUCAACUGCCGGUGUAUCUCCCUUUCUGGUGUUGAAAGAUAUAUAAGAACGCAAAUUAUCAAUGUAAGGAUCUAGAGAGUUGCUAAUGUCACCAUAUGUAGCAAUCCUCCUCAUACUAUGUGUAGGUAUGCAUAUUGGGUCACGAAGGACAUGACAAAAUCCAAUGCCUGUGGCGUUUGGAAAGAUAUUAUCAUAUAGGAUACCUGGCACUCGACAUGUUUUGGGGCUUCCAUCUAAUCUCCAUCUUGCAACUUCUACCAUGUUUCUUUUGAUUAAUUGUUGCAAAUAUCUCUCAACCAAAACUUCAGGGGUUUCAUCUUUUGAUGAUGGAUUUGCCAAUCCUUCAGCAGCCCACAACCGAAACAACCUCCGCACAGGGAUCGAAUAUUCUUUGGGGAAAAGACUUAAAUAUAGAAGACAUGGCUUUAAGUCUGAUGAAAGAUCCUCAUAAGCCAAAGCCAAGAUAGCUUUGGAAGGGUCAUCACCAAAACUCACACGCCCAAUCACUCUUGACCAGCUGUUUGGAUCUUUGGUGGAUAAGAGACCUCCUAGUACAACAAUGGCAAGAGGCAAACCCUUGCAUUUUUCCCAAAUUUGCUGCUUCAAAGACAAAUCAUUGAAGUCUUUUCUUUGUACUUUCUUCAAGAAUAAUGCCCAGCUUUCGUCAACGUUUAAAUUGGGUAGCUUAAUUGGAGGGAACUCCAGACCAGUAAGCUCUUCUGCCAUUUUUCCAUCGCGAGUAAUCAGAAUCAGCCUGCUGCCAUUUAAUGAGUUUGGAAAGAUAUUCUUAAGGAUGUCCCACACAAGAGAAGUCUUGACAUCAUCCAAAACUAUUAGGAACCUCUUGCGAAUAAAGAAAUCACGAACCUUUUCUUGCAAUUUAUCAAGAGGCAGCCUUUCCUCCUCCUUGAUUGUGGUAACUUGUUUCAAUAUAUCAAUCAAGAGAUUUCUUUUUUUGGUCUCAACUUCAGCAUCAGAAGAGAGAACUGUUUCUGGAAACUCUUCAGAAACAUUAAUCCAAACACGUAAUUGAAAAUGCUGCACAAUGUUCCCUUUGUUAUAAAUAUUCCUUAUAAAGGUUGUCUUGCCAGAGCCAGCAGCACCUGCCACUGCAAUAAGAAAACGCAAUUUAUGGCUCUUAAAUAAUGCUUGAGCUAACUCAUCUGCUUUAUCCUUUCGACCAAUGAAGUCUAGUUCGUCAUCAUCCAAAUGACCUGAAAAUGAUGUCAAGUUCUGGGAUGCUUCUUUUUCUUCUGACUUGGUUGAGUCUGUGGCUUGAGCUCCAAGUUUGCCUUCUGCGACUUUCAACUCAGUAGCAUGUGCAUGUUGUUGUUCAGCUGAUAACCUUUCUUCGAGAGCACGUGUAGAUUGUUCACCUGAAAUUCUUGGUUUAGCUUUUGAAUUGCUUGGUUCAGGAGCAUUCACAAAUUGUUCAUUUGAAACACUGGGUUUAGCUUCUGAACUGCUUGUCUUAGGAGCAUGCACAGAUCGUUCAUUUGAAAGACCUUGUUUAGUUUCUAAACUGCUUCUUUCAGGAGCAUUCACAGAUUGCUCAUUUGAAACACCUGGUUUUGCUUCUGAACUACUUGGUUCAGGAGCAUGCUCAUAUUCUUCAAUUGAAACGCCUGGUUUAGCUUCUGAGCUGCUUGUCCUAGGGGCAAGCACGGAUUGCCCAUUUGAAGCACCUGGUUUAACUUCUGAACUGCUCAGCCCAGGAGCACGCACAGAUUGUUCAUCCAAGACAUCUGGUUUAGCUUCUGAACUGCUUGCCUUAGAGGCAAACACAGACUGUCCAUUUGAAGCACCUGAUUUAACUUCUGAACUGCUUGGCUCAGGGCCAUGCGCAAAUUGUUCAUCCGAAA